This 1740-nucleotide long non-coding RNA is filed under the name Nicotiana benthamiana. RNAcentral describes it as "long non-coding RNA (NBEN_LNC034998)". The record is from RNAcentral. Lineage: Eukaryota; Viridiplantae; Streptophyta; Magnoliopsida; Solanales; Solanaceae.
AAUAAAAAUAUCUCUAAAUUAUGAUUUUAUGUGAUUAACGGUUAACUGGAUAAAGUUAAGUAGUAGUCCCGAAGAAAUAUGUGAUUAAACAUUGUGCGAUUUGUUAUAUAAAACUUAUACUAAUAAAAUGAAAUAAAUGUUUAGCACGUUUGAUUGGUUGAAUUCCCGACACGGGUGCGGAUCUAGAGGUCGGAUCCUUUGAGAUAGAAAUUUUAAGAUUCGGGGAUACGGAUCCUAGAACCGACACGGGUGCGGAGAUCCGGCUAAAAAUAAUUUACAAAUAAAAAUAAAAAUAUCUCUAAAUUAUGAUUUUAUGUGAUUAACGGUUAACUGGAUAGAGUUAAGUAGUAGUCCCAAAGAAAUAUGUGAUUAAACAUUGUGCUAUUUGUUAUAUAAAAUUUAUACUAAUAAAAUGAAAUAAAUGUUUAGCACAUUUGAUUGGUUGAGUUCAUUUUUGUUACCAUGCAUUCAAUUUUUUGAUUAGAGCUUCUCUUUCUUUUUUAUUUUCUUGUUUGUUCAAGAAAAUUAAACUAAUAACAUGAAUAGUCAACAAUGACGGAUUAAAUGUAAAUAGUUGAAAAUUGGAAUCUCUUACCAACAAAACAAAGGGUGACAAAAACAGUGCACAUGUAACUCUCAAUUUUCCAUUCAAUGACUCGCCAACUUAGGAUACUAAAUGAUACCCACAUAGACCAAGAAACAAGCAAAUAAAACAGAAAACAAAGAAAAACAAUCAGUGGAAACAAAACCCUUCCCCACCUCAAAGAAAAAAAACUAUACUUUAUGCCUUGGCUUUGCUUUCUCCCUACUUUCAGCUUAUUUCCGGCUUUUUUCCCCUUUUACUUCCCCUUUCCUCAUAAAGACAAGUCCCCCACCUACUCUUUUUUGACUAUUAAAAAAGGAGACUCUAAGAUAAAGAAGGGAGCAAUUCAAAGUGAGCACUAAAAGUGGUCUUGACUUUGGAUGCUCAACUGAAUAAUUAUUUUCUCUCUUUUAAGUUUUAGUCUUCAUUUAAAGAGAUAAACUUUGAUGAUUACAUGACACGUAUUAUCAAUAUUGAGUAUUAAACUCAGCAUUGAUAUCACAUUUGAUUUAAAAACUAUCCAUGAGUAAUGAUGCCCUUUUCCACUUUGUGAGCUGUAUGCACCCCUUUUCCAUUGCAUGCGUAGCCCUUUUCCACUUUUGUCAGUUGUAUGCAGCCAUUUUCCAUUGCAUGCGUAGUAUAUCUCCAGCCCCUUUUUUUUUGCGCCCUGUUCAUCAUCUUCCUCAACAAACCUUCUCCAUGUCUCUGGUUUUCUUCAAUACCACACACCCAUUCGAGCCCUUCCCAAUAUCCCUCAGUUCAGUAGUCAACCACCCAUCAACAACUUCUCUGCCCUAAAAACAAAACACAGAUCUUGAUUUUAGAAAGUUGCAGCAUAGAAACUCAAAGAUUGAAGACAAAAAGCUUCAAACGAGACACGCCCUAAAAACAAGACACAGAUCUUGAUUUCAGAAACUUGCAGCAUGGAAACUCAAAGAUUGAAGACAAAAAACUUCUGUGAGAAAGCACGGGAGAAAAAUAUAACUCUUGAUAUUAAACAUGAUAUAAUGAGCUCUAUAUAUAAUACACAUAACCUAACCUACUCCUAAUACACUUUGGAUUAGGGUUCUACUAUAUUUACACUUCUAACACUCCCCCUCAAGCUGGUGCAUAUAAAUCAUAUGUACCGAGCUUGUUACAUAUGUAGUUAAUACGAN